AACGAACGCUGGCGGCAUGCCUAACACAUGCAAGUCGAACGAGACCUUCGGGUCUAGUGGCGCACGGGUGCGUAACGCGUGGGAACCUGCCCUUAGGUUCGGAAUAACUCCCCGAAAGGGGUGCUAAUACCGGAUAAUGUCUUCGGACCAAAGAUUUAUCGCCUUUGGAUGGGCCCGCGUUGGAUUAGCUAGUUGGUAGGGUAAAAGCCUACCAAGGCGACGAUCCAUAGCUGGUCUGAGAGGAUGAUCAGCCACACUGGGACUGAGACACGGCCCAGACUCCUACGGGAGGCAGCAGUGGGGAAUAUUGGACAAUGGCGAAAGCCUGAUCCAGCAAUGCCGGGGGAGUGAUGAAGGCCUUAGGGUUGUAAAGCUCUUUUACCCGGGAUGAUAAUGACAGUACCGGGAGAAUAAGCUCCGGCUAACUCCGU
This 431-nucleotide ribosomal RNA is filed under the name uncultured bacterium. Its description in RNAcentral is "partial 16S ribosomal RNA". It matches the Rfam family "Bacterial small subunit ribosomal RNA", at positions 29 to 506 of the family's 1533-position model. The record is from RNAcentral.